RNAcentral lists this ribosomal RNA (591 nucleotides) under uncultured bacterium. RNAcentral describes it as "partial 16S ribosomal RNA". It matches the Rfam family "Bacterial small subunit ribosomal RNA", at positions 355 to 937 of the family's 1533-position model. The record is from RNAcentral.
UGGGGAAUUUUGGACAAUGGGCGAAAGCCUGAUCCAGCAAUGCCGCGUGUGUGAAGAAGGCCUUCGGGUUGUAAAGCACUUUUGUCCGGAAAGAAAUCCUUGGCUCUAAUACAGUCGGGGGAUGACGGUACCGGGAAGAAUAAGCACCGGCUAACUACGUGCCAGCAGCCGCGGUAAUACGUAGGGUGCAAGCGUUAAUCGGAAUUACUGGGCGUAAAGCGUGCGCAGGCGGUUUGCUAAGACCGAUGUGAAAUCCCCGGGCUCAACCUGGGAACUGCAUUGGUGACUGGCAGGCUAGAGUAUGGCAGAGGGGGGUAGAAUUCCACGUGUAGCAGUGAAAUGCGUAGAGAUGUGGAGGAAUACCGAUGGCGAAGGCAGCCCCCUGGGCCAAAUACUGACGCUCAUGCACGAAAAGCGUGGGGGAGCAAAACAGGAUUAGAUACCCUGGUAGUCCACGCCCUAAAACGAUGUCAACUAGUUGUUGGGGAUUCAUUUCCUUAGUAACGUAGCUAACGCGUGAAGUUGACCGCCUGGGGAGUACGGUCGCAAGAUUAAAAACUCAAAUGAAUUGACGGGGUCAUAGCUGUUCCU